CUGGGUCCAGAGCCCCAUGAUCCUUGACAGUCUAACAAGCAGGAUUGACUCAAUUAUUUCAUGCCCAGGACCUUCAUCUAACAAAGAAAUGUACUAGAUGGGAAGGAGAGGAAAGAAAGAAGAGAUGGAAUAAGGGAGAGACAGAGUUAUUAAAGCAAAACCUUCUUAUAUCAGGAUAUUUUAUUACCCUGAAGAUACCCAUAGUAGUGCACCAAUAGAAUAUUGAUAGCUAUGUAUAUAUACACUCACACAUAUAUGAGUGUGUAAAUAUAUGUAGGUGUGUGUAGAUAUAUGAAUAUAUAGGUAAUGUAUUCUAAUGCAUAAAAUCUGUAAAGACUCCAUUGAACAUGCGUGUAAGUCAUGUUAAAACGGAAAUGCUAAAGGCCUUUGAAAAGCUACUUUCUACAUUUCAGGCCAAGUUGCCCAUCUCAGCCAGUAGAACAGGAAUAGGAGACGCCGGGCAACUGAAUUUAUCAGUGGCAUUCAGAGACCACUGGCGGAUCUGGGGAGUUCUGAUUUCUUGCCUGGGGAAGGUGGCCUGGCUGAGCAGGAGAUGGAGGGGAUUUCCCCAGCUGAACUGGAGCAGGUCUGGGUUGAUCCAGAGACAGGGCAUCAGGGUCUCCUGCGAUGCCCAGUUCAGGAGCAGCCACACUAAGCAACAGCUUCUCAUGUGAGAGGCAGAGCUCCAGGACUCUGCUGCGACGGUGAUCUCAUCUGGAGUCUUUAAGUUCGCACUGUAACCGAGCACAGACCUGGCCGCUCGCAGCUUGCACAGCUGGUAACAAGGAUGAAGUACAGGGAUAGGAAAGUGACUGUAUUCGAGCUAGCAGUGGGAAAGUAGCCAGUUUACACAUCCAGAAACGGCUUCAAACUUUAGGCUUGGAAGAGGUUAUUCAAAGCGGGACCUUGGAAUGGGAGGCAUGCUGGCGUGGUGCUGAGUACAAAGUCUGUGUGUCCUGUUACCACUGUAACAGGAGCUGUGGUCCACCUGGGGCCCCAACUGGCAUCAUCUCAACAUCUCAUAUAUUGCGGGUGGGAAUGCAAAAUGAUGCAGCCACUCUGGAAAAUAGUUUGGACAUUUUUUAUAAAACUACCGUGUGAUCCACCAAUGGCAAUCCUGGGCAAGUAUCCCAGAAAAAUGAAAAUUGAUGUUCACGCAAAAAUCUGUACAUAAAUGUUUAUAGCAUCUUUUAUUCAUGACAGCCUAAAACUGCAAACUAUCCAGAUGUCCUUUAAUAUGUGAAUAGCUAAACAAACUGUGGUACACUCAUACUGUGAAUGCUACAUGGCCAUCAAAAGGAACAAACCAGUAUUCCAUGCACCUUCCUGGAUGAAUCUCUAGGGAAUUAUGCUCAAUGAAAAAAGUUAAUCCUGAAAGGUCUCCUAUUGUAUGAUUCCAUUUUCAUAACAUUCUAGAAACCAAAACUAUAAAAUGAAGAGAAAGUUAGUGGAUGACAGGGGCCAAGGAAUAAAGGCAGGGAGAGGAAGGGAACUGGGUGUAGUGGUAGAAAGACAACAUGAGAGAUCCUUGUGGUAAACAAAUGAUUCCAUAUCUUGAUGGUGUCAAUGUCAAUGUCCUGGUUGUGAUACUGUACUAUAGUUUUGGAAGAUGUUAACACUGGGGAAAACUGGAUAUUGAUGACAUUGAUGGUAAAGAGUGCACGUGCUAUUUCUGAAUUAUUUCUUACAACUGCAUGUGAAUCUACAAAUAUCCCAGAAUAAAUAAUUUUUAAAGCAAUAUUGUAUUGGUAUGGUAAAACAAAUAGACUAAUGGAAUCAAAUAGAGACUCCACAUAUAAACCCUAUUAGGUUUGUUACCUCAGAAGCGGACCACAAAACAA
This 1841-nucleotide long non-coding RNA is filed under the name Rhinopithecus bieti (black snub-nosed monkey). RNAcentral describes it as "lncRNA (ENSRBIG00000045122.1)". The record is from RNAcentral. Lineage: Eukaryota; Metazoa; Chordata; Mammalia; Primates; Cercopithecidae.